CCACCAAAUCCCCACCGAUGUCACCGCCCACUGUGUGCCUUCUUAUCCCCAACACAUCGCCUGCUCCGCCCUCAUCUUCCUCCUCUGCUGCCUGACCACCCAUCGUUGCUCCUCCUCCUCUCCUCUUCUCCAUCCACCUUACGACCCAAGUGUUGCUCUCCUGUUCUUGGCCGCGGUGGCUGGCCAGAGCCACACCCUAGCUGACAGCGUCGGCGUGCUUUGUGGCUACGGUUGGGGCGUUGGUGGCCUGCUCAUCGGUGCACUGGGGCCGGGGCGGAGCCCCCUUCCUUGAAGUGGUGGUGGAGCCCCUCCUCCCGGAGGGUGUCUGGGAGCAACCGGGGUUGCGAGGCAGGUGUGCAGUGGCUCGGUUGUGCCAGAUCUGGGCGCCGACCAGCACACACGCGGGGGGGGGGGUGUCUGGUGGUGCUGCCAGUGGCCACGGACGUGGGAGUGCCGAAGCUGCCUCCGGUGAGAGCCCUCGGGCCCCGAUUUUCUCUUCCAUGAGCUGGUCUCUUGGUCUCUGUACCACGAAUCAACAUGGGCAUCAAUUUUCUCUGUAUCUUCAGUUCGGCUCUCUCUCUCCUUCUUUAGGAUUACUGUCUCAAAUGGCAAUUAAGCUAAGACCUUUCUUUGUAUUAGGCUUGGCACCGAUGGUGCUUUUCUUUGGAUUCAUGCGCCUCUCCUCUUUGCUCAUUUUAAAUUGGUGACGCAUAUAAUACAUGCGGCAGACAGCUUUCUUUAUUUCUCUAGGGCACAAGACUUGGUUCAUAAGGCAAGGACAACUCGUCAGGAGCUCGGGCACGCUGGUGAGAGGAGGAGCUGAAGCGGAAUGGUGGUGCCGGGUGAUGCGAUCGCCGGCGUCAGCCGGCAGCGGAUUGAGCAUCACGUGGGUCGCGAGCCUCGCGGCUAGGAUCCGGAGGCGAGGGUGACUCCGUCCUCAUGUUGUUCAUGUUUUUUUACAAUCUGGGACGAAACGUUUUCUGAUUUUAAAAAAGGAGUGUGGGUUGAAUUACCUAAAACACAAGGGAUUUUCUACAAAACUGUCACAGUGACGUACAACCAGAAGCACUCGGCGGUUUAGUAUUAGGGAAAGAUUGUCAGUUAUAAUGUUGUGUGGAAAUCCAAAACGAAAGAUCACCUUUUUCAUGAA
This is a non-coding RNA of Triticum urartu, 1150 nucleotides long. The record is from RefSeq and is a predicted model, not a curated record. NCBI's taxonomy places the organism in Eukaryota, Viridiplantae, Streptophyta, Magnoliopsida, Poales, Poaceae.